This is a long non-coding RNA of Acanthochromis polyacanthus (spiny chromis), 4396 nucleotides long. RefSeq lists it as uncharacterized. The transcript is spliced from 2 exons. Lineage: Eukaryota; Metazoa; Chordata; Actinopteri; Pomacentridae. The record is from RefSeq and is a predicted model, not a curated record.
AACUAACCCAAUACGAUGGGACUGAAAGAACUUCACCUGCAUUUUGAAAUGAAAAUAUGUUGGUGUGGAUGUAGCCCGAGUCUCCAGACGUCCUGUGAAAUAAUAGAUGCCUGACUGGAUCUGUUUGGGUUCAUACUGUCCUGCACAGAACCACGACCCAGAUCAGAGAACCCGCUAAAGCCCGUCCUCUCUCUGCCCAGCGUCUUGGCGAGGAUCUGGCGGCGAGGCGAGGCGGGGCGCGGUUCGGUGUUUUUGGCCGGUUGAGUCACGACCACAGGGGACUGAGCGGAGGCCUGGCAGGGCAACGGCGGCCUCCACUUCAAACGGCGUGCGGUGGCGAGCGGAGCCGGGAUCCACCCUGCUGAUUUAUUAGGAUACAGAGUCACAGAGCAGCAGGCUGGAGCUGCCGCUGGAACACUGAGGUGUUGUUCUGCACUUUUACUGAGCAGCUGUCUGGACAAUGUAGCCGGCUGCAUGGGAAAGUUCACCCAGCAGAACAUGUGAAAAUUAUGGUGCAGCGGCUGUGCAGGGCAGGGCCGAGGGCGACGCUUUCCUGGGAAAACAACUUCAGCUUUAAGAUAGCAGCAUCUUGUGCUCCUCCCUGUUGGUAGAUUAAUCACUUUUAUGAUCCUCUUCUGUCACUUUUUUGCACACAUCAUGUGUUAUCCUGUAUAAUUUCAUCACAAAAGCCAAUGUUUUCUUUCCUGCAAAGUGUCAAAACGUUACUGUGUCCUGUCCCGUCUUCUAUGCUGCACAUAGACUGUAUAUAAAGUGGACGUAGCAUCUGGCUCCAGAAUUGAAGCAAACCCGGAAGUGUCAAAAACUUGCAAUAUCACGCCGUCCGCUAGGGUUGGCUCCAAAAAGCUUUUUCUCCAUCGUCCCCAAUUCAUUUUUGGAAAAAAUAAAAUUUGAUAGACUGAUGUUCUACAGCUCAGGAUUUUUUUCCCGUUAGUUUUCAUGGUCAAAAUGAGAGAUCAGGUGGCCGAUCUUAAAAUAAAUCAAUACUGAAUUUUAAAUAAAUCGUUAAAGUUGGUGGAGCCAGGGGGCGUGGCUAUACUUGAUUGACAGCAACAGAAGCCUCUGCGGCAAAAUGUGGGCGGGAUAAGAGAGUCCUCAGCCAAUCCUGCCCCUAGUUGCUCUCUGGUCCAGCCUGUUUGAUGACGCUUUUUACGUCACUGGCUCCAAAAAAUCCAAAACGGCGACCAGGAAGUAGCAAAAUCCGGGCUUCAUUUUCUCGGCGUUGAAACCAACGGGUGACGUCACGGUUAGUUUAUGCCUGGUGCUGCAUGUUCUUAAUGGUUCAAACUCAAAUUAAGACACAGAAGGUCCUGUCAGAGUGUUAGAUUAGCUGAUGUUAUUGGACUCCGUUAAUCAUGCUCUGAGGCGUUAAUCUGUACAAAUACACCAGAUUUCAUGUUUGUUUUUAUCCACAACGUUGAAUCUUUGACCAAUCAAACCGAAACUAUCAGUGAAAUUAGUGGAGUUGAGCAAAAACUACAGUAUUUGCAUCUUAAAUAUGAAUCAUCUGAACAUCAAAACUUGCCAGUGGGUUUCAAUUGAAUUUUAUUUAUAUAGUGCAAAUUCACAACAUACACUAGCAUUCAAAAGCUUGGGGUCACCCAGACAAUUUCAUGUUUUCCAUGAAAACUAACACUUUCAUUCAUGUGCUAACAUAAUUGCACAAGAGUUUUCUAAUCAUCAAUGAGCCUUUCUACACCAUUAGCUAACACAAUGUACCAUUAGAACACAGGAGUGAUGGUUGCUGGAAAUGUUCCUCUGUACCCAUAUGUACCCAUUUCCAGCUAGAAUAGUCAUUUACCACAUUAACAAUGUCUAGACUCUAUUUCUGAUUAAUUUAAUUUUAUCUUCAUUGAAAAAAAAAAUAAGGGCAUUUCUAGGUGACCCAAAUUUUUUGAACAAUAGUGCAAAUGUCACAUUACAACAAUUAAAAACAGCUCUUCGUGUGCAACUAUAUCAUGUUAGCUCUGGUCUUCUCACCCUAUAACUUUAUGAGUGCAAUAACAGAAAUGUAGCACUAAUAUUCUGCAGUGCAAUAUUUUUGGGUACGAUGUGCUAAAAAUAAGAGAUGAUAUAAUUAUGGAAAAUGCUAUUAGACUGAAGACCAGAAGUAAAACAUGUGUACUCAAAACACAAUGAUAUAAAUGUAUUAUAAGUUAUGUAUUGGAAUAAUAAAUUGAUCACAAAAUAAUAAGGGUAAGAUGUAGAGCAAAAAAAUCUGAACAUGUCUGGGCAUGUUCUCUGUAAAAGAUGACCUAAUGAUAACUGUCUGUGCACGUCUUCUGUAGAGUGAGAUGUAGGUUGAAAUAUGAUAACCUGACGUAAUGAUCUGACCAAUAGAUUUAGAAAGCUAUAAUGGUGUCAAAACUGUCUCUUCUAUCAUACGCCCUAUAGAUAUGGAAAAAUGACCAACGCUCACAGCAUAAAUGACGCCGCACAGCUCAGUAUCUUCAGUUCUUAUUCGGGUGUUAUCAAUGUUAAGAAUUACUCGUGGAUUUUUUGUCGACAAAUAAAUCUUGUUGCCCUCCAUAUGAUGACUUCUGUUGGGGAUUUUUUUUGAAGAAAAAACUUUUUAGAUGUUUGAAACACGGUCAAGUCAUGGACUCUGGCCUUGAUUUGUAACUGAGUUUACACUUUGUCAAUAAAAGCACAAUUCUACUCAUGUACAUUAGCCAUCAUGCCAUUUCUGUACACAUGAAAGAUGUGUAUAUUGCACCUUUAUUUUGAGCUUUAUUGUACUUUUUGGCUUCUUCAAUGCCUCAUUUAUAUCUAAGAUGUGAAUUCCCCACAUAAAAGAUCACCAACGUUUAUCUAAGCUUUAUCUUAUUCCUUUUGCACCACACCAGUCUUGGAACUUUUUGAUCGACCAUACCGUACUUUGCCGUCCUGUCAUUUGUCAUUAAACUGUGUUUGUCGUGUCACAUCAUCGUACAUUGUGUUACAUAACGGCACCUCCAUUAUCUGCACACUUUACUUGUGAAGCUGAGUUUGCCGGAGGUUAAAAGCAGCUGCAGUAAACUGUUAAUGAUGCGCCUCUGAGCAGCUCAUUACUUUUCAUUAGGGAGAGGUGUCACGGCUGUUUGUCUUUUGUCUCGAACAAAGCGGCAGAUUCCCACCAUGACGGACCAACAGCUCUUCCCUGUCGCGGUUAAUUAAAUUCCAGAAAGAGAUGCGGUCGCAUGGAGGAGGAACAUUUCUACUCCACUGUGUCACCGGCUUCUCUGUCCAAACAGUCAGAACAUCCCCAGGGGAGCUGGUAGAUAUUUCCUGAGAUAGAAUGAGUUUUAAAAAAGGAGGCUGCUGACCUCACCCACAAAGCAGAUAGACAGAGGAGUGAUGUCAUGCUCUCAGCCUAAAAUGGGAAUGUCAGAAGUCCAAGACCGGCCUGUUUCCUCAGAUUUGAAACAUAGGAAGCUGCUCUAAAAACAAAACCGAUGCAACCGUUUGUCUCCUGAUUUAGUGUAAUCUUUAACCCUCUGAACCCUAAAACUCACCGGUAGGUUUGAAAGGCAUGCUGUCUUUAAAAGAUCGCCAAAUUGACACAAUUCACCAGAGUCAGAAACUGUAAAUACAGAAAUAAUUGUUGGAUUUCAAUAAAUUAUGUGAAUUAAAGUAGUAUAUUUUCCACUUGCAUGAAAAUAGUAACCGUCUAAACCACAAAACAUUUGCAGCACAAACUUUCUUUCUAAAAUAAUCUGCAAAAAUACAACAUUUAUGACAGCAGCAAGCUGGAAAACAGAGAAAUUGUACAGAUUUCAAACUUUUCAAGUAUUCUUGAGCCACUAAUCUGUGACUUUCUGUUUCAUUGGGAAUAUUAACCAGCCUAAUCACAAAGCCAUGACUCAGCAACAGUCCCAUAAUGAAAAUUAAUCAACUAUUCAACUGAACUGCAGGCCAUGUAUUUAUACAGAGAAGACAGUUAUGGAAACAAAUUAAGAAUGUGAGAAGUAAAAUAUCUAUAGCAGGUGGAGUUACCAUUUUUUCCCAUCAUUGUUAACAUCUGUAGGCACAUGGGAAAAGACUUGACUUGGUGAUUCCAUUUUUUUUUUUUUUUUUUUUUUGUAAAUCAAUAAUUGAAAAAAACUAACAAUUCUGGCCGUUAUUUAAAAUGGUUUACGGCAUUCUACCUGUGUCAUACUGUACAAAAGACACUUUUAAGCUCUUUCUCUUUCUAGUCAUGUUUGUCCUGCUUCCAUAGAGGUGCAGGGGUUUAUAUUGCUGUGAAAAAUGAGCCCACAGUGAGUAAAAAUAUGAUAUGAGUUGGGUCAUAACGCAAAAAUGUUCCUACUGUGGGGCUUUGCAGAAUUAUUUGUGAAUAAUUGGCUGAUAUUGCAAUUUUGUACUGGAAUAAAUUAAACAAAAAGUGCUUUAGAAUCAA